AUACGUAGGUGGCAAGCGUUGUCCGGAAUUAUUGGGCGUAAAGCGCGCGCAGGCGGUCCUUUAAGUCUGAUGUGAAAGCCCACGGCUCAACCGUGGGGGGUCAUUGGAAACUGGGGGACUUGAGUGCAGAAGAGGAAAGUGGAAUUCCAAGUGUAGCGGGGAAAUGCGUAGAGAUUUGGAGGAACACCAGUGGCGAAGGCGACUUUCUGGUCUGUAACUGACGCUGAGGCGCGAAAGCGUGGGGAGCAAACAGGAUUAGAUACCCUGGUAGUCCACGCCGUAAACGAUGAGUGCUAAGUGUUAGGGGGUUUCCGCCCCUUAGUGCUGCAGCUAACGCAUUAAGCACUCCGCCUGGGGAGUACGGUCGCAAGACUGAAACUCAAAGGAAUUGACGGGG
RNAcentral lists this ribosomal RNA (397 nucleotides) under uncultured bacterium. Its description in RNAcentral is "partial 16S ribosomal RNA". It matches the Rfam family "Bacterial small subunit ribosomal RNA", at positions 523 to 918 of the family's 1533-position model. The record is from RNAcentral.